AAAACGGGGUGUCGUUGAAAGGUACACAACAAAAUGAAGUACACAUUCGCAUUGCUUGCAGUCGUCACCUUUCUCGUAGCAGCCGUUUCCUGCCAGAAGGAUGAUGAGGAAAGGCAAUUGGUGGCUCUCGGUGAAGCCUUGGCACCCGUAGUCGGUGGGAUUAUCUCAGAACUACCUGCUAUCGGUGAAUCUGCUCUCGGUCUAAUCGAAGAAGUUUCGAACGCCAUUGAUGUGGGACAAACGGUAGCCUGUCUAAUUCCUGGCUCGCAUGCACAUUGUUGAUCCACCCCAUACAACCGAAGCUUUUAUUCUGCUAAUGAUAUUGAUCCGUUAAUGUUUACUGGUGUACAAUAAUUAUCAAAUAAAUAGGCCUCUUUAUUGUAUUCAGAA
Molecule: long non-coding RNA, 390 nt
Organism: Anopheles aquasalis
Lineage: Eukaryota; Metazoa; Arthropoda; Insecta; Diptera; Culicidae
Source: RefSeq, a predicted model, not a curated record